UUGAGCUUCUAUCACUUCCACUCCACACAACUCAUUGAUAGGCCGUUACUUCCAGCCACAAAUCAAGAUGCAGAAGGCCAUGGUUAUCAUCCUUGCGUUGGCCAUUGCCACUGUUACAUUGGCCCAGUCCCACGAAGAAGCUGAAGAUGCUUCACACUUAAGAGUUCGUCGUGGCUUUGACUGUCCACUCGCCCCGUCUAAGUGUCAGUACAAGUGCAAGUCCCUUCCAGGAUACAAGGGCGGAUACUGCGACGGAUUCUUGAAAACGAGAUGCAAGUGCUACUGAAAUAUGUACGUCCUAGAAUAUGUAUAAUAUGUUCGCGUGUUUAAGGGACACGACGGGUCUAAAUAAAUCACGUUAUAAUGCUUC
This is a long non-coding RNA of Ornithodoros turicata, 370 nucleotides long. RefSeq lists it as uncharacterized. The record is from RefSeq and is a predicted model, not a curated record. Lineage: Eukaryota; Metazoa; Arthropoda; Arachnida; Ixodida; Argasidae. The transcript is spliced from 4 exons.